This is a long non-coding RNA of Mustela erminea (ermine), 783 nucleotides long. RefSeq lists it as uncharacterized. The record is from RefSeq and is a predicted model, not a curated record. Lineage: Eukaryota; Metazoa; Chordata; Mammalia; Carnivora; Mustelidae. The transcript has 3 exons.
CGGGAGCCGGCUCACUGAGCCGCGGUGUCAGAAGCUGGCGGUUCUCCUCAGCACCUGUGGACCCCGCUUACGUCUCUUCGCGGGGCACAGCACCCCGGAACCUCCGCGUGCAAGGACAGUGGCCUGAGGACGCCCUCUUUCACUUCCUGCGUUUCCUCCUCCACACAGACUACGAGGGAGUGCGCGUCGCUUGUGAAGAUGCUUCUUAGCUCAGAGUCAUGGAUGCUCCCUAGCCAAGCUCCUGCAUCUUUUCUGUAUGGAAGAGGUUGGACCAGAGCAGCACCAGCCUUGACUGCGAAAAGCCAAGGUCAGAACGUGGAGGUAGAAGACAUCUCACCAAAAGCAUCCAAGAGGAACCGCUCUUGCUUCUUUCAGUGGAUCCCUUCAGAAGGCCCUUCACAAGGUGUUGGGCGGACGCAAGAGAAACGAGGGAGCUGAGAAGGACGAGCUCCCAAUGACCACGCAGAGGAUCGACUCCUCCGUCAAAUACCGCCGACUGGUCACAACUACUGGACAGUUUCCCAGGUCCUCGGGAUGCGAAUGGGACCGAAAGGCGAGCCUGGCACCUUGUGCCUCACCUCAUCUCCUUAUGACAUUCAAAUAAAUACUAAUCAAAAGGUGAUUUACAUCUCUGCUGCAGUGAUUGCUCAAAAUGCCAAGGGAAAAAGACCACCUUAGUGCACAGCAAAACUCAAAACUCCUCUCCCCAGGCUGUCUCUGUUCUCAUCAUUCCGUAGCCCCUAAGACUAGUGCAUAAAUCAAACCCUAACAGUCUUUUUCUCA